RNAcentral lists this long non-coding RNA (493 nucleotides) under Pan troglodytes (chimpanzee). RNAcentral's name for it is "long non-coding RNA NONPTRT000286". Lineage: Eukaryota; Metazoa; Chordata; Mammalia; Primates; Hominidae. The record is from RNAcentral.
UACAUGGUUCAAAUGUACAUAGAAAGUACAUAUAAAUAUCUGGAGGAAGAUUAUUCCAGGUGGAGAGAACUCCAAGACCUUGUGGCAAGAAGGGGCUCAGCAUGACUGACAAAUAGCAAGAAGGAUGUCAGCUGUGGCACUGGCUACCUUGACACAUCCUCAUCUGAAGAAAAAAUACAAAGAAGGCCUGCCAUGAUGACAAUUUACUUCAUGAAGAGAAUGGGUUCUGAAACGGUCAUUCUUUUCCAUUUAAACAAUGUUACCAUCUCCCAAAGAACAGCUUUGGGGUAGGAAAGAACAGUAUUUCAUUUCAAGCUGGACUACUCAUCUACCAAAAAACCAUUCUAACCAAAGAAACAGAUGCAGAAUUAUAGUCACAGCUGCAUUCUGCACAGAACAAGUUGGAUAAUGGUAUUCUAAAUUGCUAAUUAUACUGUUAAUGAUUUUUUAAGUGUCAUUGCAGUACUUUGCCACCUUUGUUUAAAAAUUUUUA